GACGAACGCUGGCGGCGUGCUUAACACAUGCAAGUCGAACGGAAAGGCCCUGCUUUUGUGUGGUGCUCGAGUGGCGAACGGGCGAGUAACACGUGAGUAACCUGCCCUUGACUUUGGGAUAACUUCAGGAAACUGGGGCUAAUACCGGAUAGGAGCUCCUGCUGCAUGGUGGGGGUUGGAAAGUUUCGGCGGUUGGGGAUGGACUCGCGGCUUAUCAGCUUGUUGGUGGGGUAGUGGCUUACCAAGGCUUUGACGGGUAGCCGGCCUGAGAGGGUGACCGGCCACAUUGGGACUGAGAUACGGCCCAGACUCCUACGGGAGGCAGCAGUGGGGAAUAUUGCACAAUGGGCGGAAGCCUGAUGCAGCAACGCCGCGUGCGGGAUGACGGCCUUCGGGUUGUAAACCGCUUUCGCCUGUGACGAAGCGUGAGUGACGGUAAUGGGUAAAGAAGCACCGGCUAACUACGUG
RNAcentral lists this ribosomal RNA (468 nucleotides) under uncultured bacterium. RNAcentral's name for it is "partial 16S ribosomal RNA". It matches the Rfam family "Bacterial small subunit ribosomal RNA", at positions 28 to 507 of the family's 1533-position model. The record is from RNAcentral.